RNAcentral lists this ribosomal RNA (429 nucleotides) under Actinomycetes bacterium. RNAcentral describes it as "Actinobacteria bacterium partial 16S ribosomal RNA". It matches the Rfam family "Bacterial small subunit ribosomal RNA", at positions 355 to 776 of the family's 1533-position model. The record is from RNAcentral. Lineage: Bacteria; Bacillati; Actinomycetota; Actinomycetes.
UAGGGAAUCUUCCGCAAUGGGCGAAAGCUUGACGGAGCAACGCCGCGUGAGUGAUGAAGGUCUUCGGAUCGUAAAACUCUUUUAUUAGGGAAGAACAAAUGUGUAAGUAACUAUGCACGUCUUGACGGUACCUAAUCAGAAAGCCACGGCUAACUACGUGCCAGCAGCCGCGGUAAUACGUAGGUGGCAAGCGUUAUCCGGAAUUAUUGGGCGUAAAGCGCGCGUAGGCGGUUUUUUAAGUCUGGUGUGAAAGCCCACGGCUCAACCGUGGAGGGUCAUUGGAAACUGGAAAACUUGAGUGCAGAAGAGGAAAGUGGAAAACCAUGUGUAGCGGUGAAAUGCGCAGAGAUAUGGAGGAACAACAGUGGCGAAGGCGACUUUCUGGUCUGUAACUGACGCUGAUGUGCGAAAGCGUGGGGAUCAAACAGG